AGUCGAGCGCAGGAAGCUCACGGAACUCUUCGGAGGGAAGUGAGGGGAAUGAGCGGCGGACGGGUGAGUAACACGUAAGGAACCUGCCUUAAGGAUUGGGAUAACUCCGAGAAAUCGGAGCUAAUACCGGAUAGUUCUUCAGACCGCAUGGUCUGAUGAUGAAAGGCGCUUCGGCGUCACCUUGAGAUGGCCUUGCGGUGCAUUAGCUAGUUGGUGGGGUAAUGGCCCACCAAGGCGACGAUGCAUAGCCGACCUGAGAGGGUGAUCGGCCACACUGGGACUGAGACACGGCCCAGACUCCUACGGGAGGCAGCAGUAGGGAAUCUUCCACAAUGGACGAAAGUCUGAUGGAGCAACGCCGCGUGAGUGAUGAAGGUUUUCGGAUCGUAAAACUCUGUUGUAAGGGAAGAACAGGUGUGAGAGGUAAUGCUCAUGCUAUGACGGUACCUUACGAGAAAGCCACGGCUAACUACGUGCCAGCAGCCGCGGUAAUACGUAGGUGGCAAGCGUUGUCCGGAAUUAUUGGGCGUAAAGCGCGCGCAGGCGGCCUUUUAAGUCUGAUGUGAAAGCCCCCGGCUCAACCGGGGAGGGUCAUUGGAAACUGGAAGGCUUGAGUACAGAAGAGAAGAGUGGAAUUCCAUGUGUAGCGGUGAAAUGCGUAGAGAUGUGGAGGAACACCAGUGGCGAAGGCGACUCUUUGGUCUGUAACUGACGCUGAGGCGCGAAAGCGUGGGGAGCAAACAGGAUUAGAUACCCUGGUAGUCCACGCCGUAAACGAUGAGUGCUAGGUGUUGGGGGGGUUUCCGCCCCUCAGUGCUGAAGCUAACGCAUUAAGC
This 836-nucleotide ribosomal RNA is filed under the name Exiguobacterium antarcticum. Its description in RNAcentral is "bacterial SSU rRNA". It matches the Rfam family "Bacterial small subunit ribosomal RNA", at positions 60 to 865 of the family's 1533-position model. The record is from RNAcentral. Lineage: Bacteria; Bacillati; Bacillota; Bacilli; Caryophanales.